Molecule: long non-coding RNA, 864 nt
Organism: Heterocephalus glaber (naked mole-rat)
Lineage: Eukaryota; Metazoa; Chordata; Mammalia; Rodentia; Bathyergidae
Source: Ensembl
UAUGUUACAACAUGGAUGAAAUUUGAGGAUAUUAUUCUAAGUGAAAUAUGACAAGAAAAAUACAGUAUAUGAUUCCACUUACACGAAGUACCUAGAUUAGCCAAAUUCACAGAAGUAGAAAGUAGAAUGGUGGCUACUAGGGGCUGAAGGGUGGAGAGAAUGGAGAAUUGUUUAACAAGCGCAGUUUAGCAAAAUGAAGCAUUCUAGAAAUUGUGUAACAAUGGGAAUGUACUUAACACUACUGAAUACUACACUUAAAACGGCUAAGAUGCUUUAUCAUCCUGCUGGGUCUCUUAAUGGUUUCAAGCCUCAGAGACAACCACUUCCCACUUUCAGCUGUUACCUCUAGUUGCCUUGACAUUACUAAAUAGCAUACUUACAUUGCUAUUUCUUGAUGUCCCAAUUGUGACAUUAUGCAUUACCUUUUUGUGAUGGAAGAUUUAGCUCUGAUGCAAUACUUUCUCCAACCCUACCACAUCAGCCCUUCUCUAAACCCCUGUCAAUUCUCUUCCUCACGUCUCUCUACUCUUCAGUCUCCAAAUAUAAUUCUAUGACUUUGGUUAUCCAUUGAUAAUGUUCAUUAUGGCCGUGUCAAUGUAACUUCACAGCAGAGACUUAUGCUGCACUGUGAUUUCAUUUUUUUUCUUGCAUAACGGUUUUUUUCCUGAGUUGGCAUCCUCAUUUGUUUUUUUUAAAAUUCAAUGUCAUUAAAUCUGCAUAAAAAAAAGUACCUGUUUUACAUGUAUUAUUUAAUAAACUUUGGUGAAUAUUGACGCCCUUGUUACCAUUACCCCAAUUAAAUACUAAAGCAUUUCCAUUAUCCCCAGUAAGUAAUUCCCUCCUGUUCUUUUUUUUGGGGGGGGU